CAAAGGCAGGCAAGAGACUGGGAAAGCUUCAGAGUGGACAAAAGGGAGGCUCAGCUGUGCCCUGGGUGGCUGUCGUCGUGGGGAAGCUGGAGCAUGCUCACUAGAAGUGGGGCGUCCUAUGUGCUUGAAUAUCUGCCAUUCAACUACAUCCUAGAACAGAGUGUUGCCAGCACGUUCUUCCAGUGUGAUAGUUGUACAAUUCGCUCUCGAGGACCAGAGUGCAGGCGUGCCUGCCCCACCCCCAACUUCACUGAAAUGGAGCAUCAUCAUUCAAAGAGUACGCUGGUCUGACAGCUGAAGAGGCUGCUUCUGCUUCUUCAUUGUUUUGAUUUGAUUUCUUCGACUGUUAGUGAGAUUGAGUUUUUAAAAAUU
This 372-nucleotide long non-coding RNA is filed under the name Equus caballus (horse). RNAcentral's name for it is "lncRNA (ENSECAG00000056826.1)". The record is from RNAcentral. Lineage: Eukaryota; Metazoa; Chordata; Mammalia; Perissodactyla; Equidae.